GUGUCGCUUCUCUUCUUUCCACAAUAAAUUAAUCAACACGCCUCUGUGUCCUAUAGGUACAGUGCAUAGUCGCAUUUGUCAUCCAUUCAUAUGAUUAUUCAGAUUGAGUUAUUUUGGGAGAAAAACGAGAAAAAAAGGCAUCCGGAUAUUGUCCCGUCAUUGGACGAAAUUUUAAGUCUGAUUAGACUUCCGGUUUGCGUUUUUCUGUAUACUGUAUUUUAAGAAUUCUAUCUGCUAUCAUUUUCAAGCUUACUAUCCACGGCGGUCACAUAAUUUAUUAAAUAGAGAGGGUCUGUUUACUAUAUGAAUGACCACCAUGGAUCGAUUAGUAAACUUAAAAUUGAAAGUAAAUACACUAUAUUUAUAUAGUAAUGAAUGUUCAUAAUGACCACCAUGGAUCGAUUAGUAAACUUAAAAUUGAAAGUAAAUACACUAUAUUUAUAUAGUAAUGAAUGUUCAUAAUAUACAGAUUUAUAUAAGCGUUAAAAUUAUUCAUUGAACUUUUGAUACCUUUUCUGAAAUUCUCCAGUUAUUAAAUCUUUUACAAGAAGAUGUGGUAUGAUAGCCAUGUUGAGACAACUCUCCACAAGAGACCAAAAUGAUACAGAAAUUAACAACUAUAGUUCACCGUACGACCUUCAACAAUGAGCAAAUCCCAUACCGCAUAAUCAGCUUUAAAAGGCCCUGAACUGACAAGGUAACACAAUCCAAACCAGAAAACUAGCGGCCUUAUUGAUGUACAAAAAAUUGAACGAAAUACAAAUAUGUAACACAUAAACAAACGACAACCACUGAAUUACAGGCUCCUUACUUAAAUGUUCAUAACAUACUCAAUGUAUUAUGUUCAUAUUGAAAUUGAUAGAAAACCAAAAAUUGGGAAUUUUGGAAAUAAAGGAGGAGGGAUAUAAAAAAAAACAUUUUCCUGCCCCCCACAUCCCCAAUAACCUAUGACUUAUGAUACUUUUGCUGAAAUUCCCCACUAAAUGUAUUAUGUUCAUAUUGAAAUUGAUAGAAAACCAAAAUUGGGAAUUUUAGAAAUAAAGGAGGAGGGAUAAAAAAAAAAACACAUUUUCCUGUUCCCAAUAACCUUUGACUUAUGAUAAUUUUGCUGAAAUUCUCCAGUCAUUCAAUAUUUUACAUAAUUCUUCCAACAACACUUUACAUACUAUAAAC
RNAcentral lists this long non-coding RNA (1173 nucleotides) under Mytilus galloprovincialis (Mediterranean mussel). Lineage: Eukaryota; Metazoa; Mollusca; Bivalvia; Mytilida; Mytilidae. The record is from RNAcentral.